UACGUAGGGUCCGAGCGUUAAUCGGAAUUACUGGGCGUAAAGGGCUCGUAGGCGGCCAACUAAGUCGGAUGUGAAAUCCCCAGGCUUAACCUGGGAACUGCAUCCGAUACUGGAUGGCUUGAAUCCGGGAGAGGGAUGCAGAAUUCCAGGUGUAGCGGUGAAAUGCGUAGAUAUCUGGAGGAAUACCGGUGGCGAAGGCGGCAUCCUGGACCGGCAUUGACGCUGAGUGAGCGAAAGCCAGGGGAGCAAACGGG
This 254-nucleotide ribosomal RNA is filed under the name uncultured bacterium. RNAcentral describes it as "partial 16S ribosomal RNA". It matches the Rfam family "Bacterial small subunit ribosomal RNA", at positions 524 to 776 of the family's 1533-position model. The record is from RNAcentral.